GAUCAUGGCUCAGGACGAACGCUGGCGGCGUGCCUAACACAUGCAAGUCGAACGAAGCUUGACGAACGAUUCUUCGGAUGAAUUCUGAUAUGACUGAGUGGCGGACGGGUGAGUAACGCGUGAGCAACCUGCCCUUCAGAGGGGGAUAGUGUCUGGAAACGGACAGUAAUACUGCAUAACGUACAUUGAUGGCAUCUUCGAUGUACCAAAGCUUUUGCG
Molecule: ribosomal RNA, 219 nt
Filed under: uncultured bacterium
Lineage: Bacteria
Description: partial 16S ribosomal RNA
Rfam family: Bacterial small subunit ribosomal RNA
Source: RNAcentral